UUUCCGUAGGUGAACCUGCGGAAGGAUCAUUCAUAAUAAGUGAUUUAUGACACUUUUUUAAAUCCAUAUCCACCUUGUGUGCAAGGUCAGGGUUGAUUUUUCUCACGAGAGGAUCAGCCCCAAACAUCAACUAUAUCUAAACUCUUUGUCUGAAAAUUAUUAUGAAUAAAACAAUUCAAAAUACAACUUUCAACAACGGAUCUCUGGGUUCUCACAUCGAUGAAGAACGCAGC
This 233-nucleotide unclassified non-coding RNA is filed under the name plant metagenome. RNAcentral's name for it is "partial contains small subunit ribosomal RNA, internal transcribed spacer 1, and 5.8S ribosomal RNA". The stretch from base 185 to 233 matches the Rfam family "5.8S ribosomal RNA", at positions 1 to 49 of the family's 154-position model. The record is from RNAcentral.